RNAcentral lists this long non-coding RNA (405 nucleotides) under Equus caballus (horse). RNAcentral's name for it is "lncRNA (ENSECAG00000060376.1)". Lineage: Eukaryota; Metazoa; Chordata; Mammalia; Perissodactyla; Equidae. The record is from RNAcentral.
UUAACUUGUGUGAUUGCAAACAGUGACUCCCAGCUAACUGCAGAGAGUGUGGCUUCCUCCAGGAGACUCAGACUCACCCUCUCAGCGAUUCACCAGCCCUGUAGACACCUCCUUCGUGCCAGGCUCUGUGCCACUGCUGAGUCCUCAAGGACAGGCAGCACAGGCCCAGCUCGGCCGCUCCCCCGCUGUCAGAGCUGGCUCCUGCUCGGCCCUUCUCAGCUCGUGGCUUCUGGCUCAUGCUUCAAGACGGCUGCUCAAGCUCUAAUCUGUUCUCCAGCAUAAGCAGACAGAACACAAAUACACAAACAUAUUGGAGGACUCGAAGAUUGUCUGCAUCGGAGAGGAAGGAGUCAGAAGCCUGAGUCCUGGUUCCCACCUCACCUCCAGCUGGCUAGGUGACCAGGA